Molecule: long non-coding RNA, 2110 nt
Organism: Cuculus canorus (common cuckoo)
Lineage: Eukaryota; Metazoa; Chordata; Aves; Cuculiformes; Cuculidae
Exons: 4
Source: RefSeq, a predicted model, not a curated record
UUGCCCUCUCAGUCUCGCUCUGAAAGAGUUCUCUGCUCCCCACUUAAACCCUUUGGCAUGCUAUUGUGUAGCAUUGUGUAUUUCCAUGUGGGGUGCUUCUCCUUGAAAGAAAUUAAAAUGAUGGGGAGGCUGACUUGUCACACUAAAUAACAUCACAUGCUUUUCUUUGGAGAAGGAUAAAAAAAAAAAGGAAGAAAUACUCAAAGUUCCAAGAAAAUAACUGCUGAGGAAAUGAGUGCAGUAGCUUAGGUCCCGUCCCUGGAAAGUAACAGCUAUGCCAGCACAGGGAAACACGUUCCAUCCCUGCAGGGCUUGUAGGUAGGCUUGAAUUUCUGCAUGUUGUUUGCUGGUGACCUACAGACUUGACUGUCCAUCACUGAUCUCUCCAGCUAUCCACAAUGAAUUUCUAGUCCAAAUGUUGUUGGUUUUUUCCUAAAAUAUGAGUUGUAUUUAAAAAUAUUGGAACUGUUCACAAUCAUUUCUGCUCCUGCUUACUAAUAUCUAUUUUUUUCCCUCCAAAUUCACUGUCUACCUUUCUUCUGGGAAAUAAGUGACCCUGAAAGCACCUCAUCACUCUCUGCUCCCUCAUCGUUACCCUUCAUAGCCAGAGAGCACCACUGGUUUGGGUCCUCUUGGUCCCUUGGCAUUUUCCUCAGCACUCGCAAGAGUAUUGCCCUUUUGACAACCUGCAGGUUCCCCAUCUCUUUAAUUUAGAGUAAACCUUUGUCUAGAAACACAGAGAAAAACACCUGGGACCAUAUUUCCUUUGAGGUUUACCCGAGUGGAAAAAUCCCAUGAAAGGAGAAGAUAACAGCUCUGUGGAGGAAUCACCCAUCAAGAAGAAGAGAAAAGCACUCUGAUUUCAAUUAGACAGAAUUUCUCAGUGGCCUCGCUGUUCUCCUUCUCACCUCAGAUCUGCUGCAACCAGGAACUUAGAGAAGAAGAUAGCUCCCCUCUCCCUUGAAGUGUUCAUGACAGAGAAAGCAAGCCAAGAGGUCAACGGCUGAAGAAGAGGUCUUCUACAGAGACUGGAACCAUAUGGCUGCCGCAGUAAAUGCCCAAGAGAACAGCAGAAGAAACUAAUGAAACGGAGCAGGAGUGAAGGGAAUAAUGGGCGAUGAGAAAGCAAUGCUGACCAUCCCCCAUCGCAGAGCUACAGUAUUCUUCAGGGCUGUGAAGUUGUAUGCGUCUGCGGGAGGGAGUGAUGUUGAAUACAGGAAACCUGAAGCCAGGAUAUAUUUUACAGCAAGGCAAUUAUAAUGCAAGAUUAUAAGAAAUGUUUGUGCUUUAAAAUGUUUUAUCUUAUGUUUGAAGUAUAGUGUUUCUGGCAGGGAAAAAAUAUAUAAGGGCAUUAAAUGGCUUUCUUUGCAGGCAAUUAAACAAUGAAGUCAGUCUGAGGCAUUUAAAUAAUUGUAACAGAUGUUUAUUGCCUAGUGCAGUUUACUGCAUCCUAUUAUUCCCUUUACAUACAAGAGAGAAGAACACAUGGCAAACUGUACCGUAAAAGAAAUUCUUUACUGCCUUGUGAGCAAUGUGGUUGCUUCUUUGACUUCUUAAUUGAAUCACCUUGGGAAUGAGUCAGUAAUAAAUAGUAUUUGGAGAGCAGACAAGUGACUAACUGCCCAAAGGAGCAGCAGCAACUGGUGUGCAAUGACGUGGGUCUGGCGGUAAAUAUCUUUGAGCAAACAAACUACAGUGGAAUUGCUCUGAGAGUGAUGCUUGGCUCACUCAUCAAGAAUUUUGUUGCCUCCUGAGGUGGUGUGUUUCUGGAGACUCUCCUUUCCUGCAAUCCCUUUUGUGUGCUCCGUUGAGAGAGGAAAAAUAACCUGGGUCCUUGGGUAGGCUUUGGACAAGAUGUCUGUAAUCCCGAUUUACUACAGAUUCAUUGUGUGGCUUUAUUUCUCACAUCUCAUCUCAGAGUUUCCCAGUCUGCUCGGGGUGUUGCAUACAACGCAAGAGUGGACUUUCUGCAUCAGGCUGAAGGUGCAAGGAACCCCACCUCCAGCGAAAAUCUCUGGCAGUGGCUUUAGGUGGAUGACUAAGCAACUGUGAAGGACAAGUAUAUGUGGUAUUUUCCCCAAAUACUCUCCAGUCAUUUUUUGAUGUAGGG